CCUACGGGCGGCAGCAGUGAGGAAUAUUGGUCAAUGGACGAGAGUCUGAACCAGCCAAGUAGCGUGAAGGAUGACUGCCCUAUGGGUUGUAAACUUCUUUUAUAUGGGAGUAAAAUGUUCCACGUGUGGGAUUUUGUAUGUACCAUAUGAAUAAGGAUCGGCUAACUCCGUGCCAGCAGCCGCGGUAAUACGGAGGAUCCGAGCGUUAUCCGGAUUUAUUGGGUUUAAAGGGAGCGUAGGUGGAUUGUUAAGUCAGUUGUGAAAGUUUGCGGCUCAACCGUAAAAUUGCAGUUGAAACUGGCAGUCUUGAGUACAGUAGAGGUGGGCGGAAUUCGUGGUGUAGCGGUGAAAUGCUUAGAUAUCACGAAGAACUCCGAUUGCGAAGGCAGUUCACUGGACUGCAACUGACACUGAGGCGCGAAAGUGUGGGUAUCAAACAGGAUUAGAUACCCUGGUAGUC
RNAcentral lists this ribosomal RNA (460 nucleotides) under uncultured bacterium. RNAcentral describes it as "partial 16S ribosomal RNA". It matches the Rfam family "Bacterial small subunit ribosomal RNA", at positions 338 to 795 of the family's 1533-position model. The record is from RNAcentral.